This 348-nucleotide unclassified non-coding RNA is filed under the name soil metagenome. Its description in RNAcentral is "partial contains 5.8S ribosomal RNA, internal transcribed spacer 2, and large subunit ribosomal RNA". The stretch from base 1 to 120 matches the Rfam family "5.8S ribosomal RNA", at positions 35 to 154 of the family's 154-position model. The record is from RNAcentral.
GAUGAAGAACGCAGCGAAAUGCGAUACGUAAUGUGAAUUGCAGAAUUCAGUGAAUCAUCGAGUCUUUGAACGCACAUUGCGCCCCCUGGUAUUCCGGGGGGCAUGCCUGUCCGAGCGUCAUUGCUGCCCUCAAGCACGGCUUGUGUGUUGGGCCUCCGCCCCCCGGCUCCCGGGGGGCGGGCCCGAAAGGCAGCGGCGGCACCGCGUCCGGUCCUCGAGCGUAUGGGGCUUCGUCACCCGCUCUUGUAGGCCCGGCCGGCGCUUGCCGACACAUCAAUCUUUUUUCCAGGUUGACCUCGGAUCAGGUAGGGAUACCCGCUGAACUUAAGCAUAUCAAUAAGCGGAGGA